CACACUAUCAUUAACUGAAUCCAUAGGUUAAUGAGGCGAACCGGGGGAACUGAAACAUCUAAGUACCCCGAGGAAAAGAAAUCAACCGAGAUUCCCCCAGUAGCGGCGAGCGAACGGGGAGCAGCCCAGAGCCUGAAUCAGUGUGUGUGUUAGUGGAAGCGUCUGGAAAGGCGCGCGAUACAGGGUGACAGCCCCGUACACAAAAAUGCACAUGCUGUGAGCUCGAUGAGUAGGGCGGGACACGUGGUAUCCUGUCUGAAUAUGGGGGGACCAUCCUCCAAGGCUAAAUACUCCUGACUGACCGAUAGUGAACCAGUACCGUGAGGGAAAGGCGAAAAGAACCCCGGCGAGGGGAGUGAAAAAGAACCUGAAACCGUGUACGUACAAGCAGUGGGAGCCUCUUUAUGGGGUGACUGCGUACCUUUUGUAUAAUGGGUCAGCGACUUAUAUUCUGUAGCAAGGUUAACCGAAUAGGGGAGCCGAAGGGAAACCGAGUCUUAACUGGGCGUUAAGUUGCAGGGUAUAGACCCGAAACCCGGUGAUCUAGCCAUGGGCAGGUUGAAGGUUGGGUAACACUAACUGGAGGACCGAACCGACUAAUGUUGAAAAAUUAGCGGAUGACUUGUGGCUGGGGGUGAAAGGCCAAUCAAACCGGGAGAUAGCUGGUUCUCCCCGAAAGCUAUUUAGGUAGCGCCUCGUGAAUUCAUCUCCGGGGGUAGAGCACUGUUUCGGCAAGGGGGUCAUCCCGACUUACCAACCCGAUGCAAACUGCGAAUACCGGAGAAUGUUAUCACGGGAGACACACGGCGGGUGCUAACGUCCGUCGUGAAGAGGGAAACAACCCAGACCGCCAGCUAAGGUCCCAAAGUCAUGGUUAAGUGGGAAACGAUGUGGGAAGGCCCAGACAGCCAGGAUGUUGGCUUAGAAGCAGCCAUCAUUUAAAGAAAGCGUAAUAGCUCACUGGUCGAGUCGGCCUGCGCGGAAGAUGUAACGGGGCUAAACCAUGCACCGAAGCUGCGGCAGCGACGCUUAUGCGUUGUUGGGUAGGGGAGCGUUCUGUAAGCCUGUGAAGGUGU
This 1076-nucleotide ribosomal RNA is filed under the name Escherichia coli. Its description in RNAcentral is "partial 23S ribosomal RNA". It matches the Rfam family "Bacterial large subunit ribosomal RNA", at positions 144 to 1259 of the family's 2925-position model. The record is from RNAcentral. Lineage: Bacteria; Pseudomonadati; Pseudomonadota; Gammaproteobacteria; Enterobacterales; Enterobacteriaceae.